This 468-nucleotide ribosomal RNA is filed under the name uncultured bacterium. Its description in RNAcentral is "partial 16S ribosomal RNA". It matches the Rfam family "Bacterial small subunit ribosomal RNA", at positions 28 to 507 of the family's 1533-position model. The record is from RNAcentral.
GACGAACGCUGGCGGCGUGCUUAACACAUGCAAGUCGAACGGAAAGGCCCUGCUUUUGUGGGGUGCUCGAGUGGCGAACGGGUGAGUAACACGUGAGUAACCUGCCCUUGACUUUGGGAUAACUUCAGGAAACUGGGGCUAAUACCGGAUAGGAGCUCCUGCUGCAUGGUGGGGGUUGGAAAGUUUCGGCGGUUGGGGAUGGACUCGCGGCUUAUCAGCUUGUUGGUGGGGUAGUGGCUUACCAAGGCUUUGACGGGUAGCCGGCCUGAGAGGGUGACCUGCCACCUUGGGACUGCGAUACGGCCCAGACUCCUACGGGAGGCAGCAGUGGGGAAUAUUGCACAAUGGGCGGAAGCCUGAUGCAGCAACGCCGCGUGCGGGAUGACGGCCUUCGGGUUGUAAACCGCUUUCGCCUGUGACGAAGCGUGAGUGACGGUAAUGGGUAAAGAAGCACCGGCUAACUACGUG